This 1102-nucleotide long non-coding RNA is filed under the name Oryctolagus cuniculus (rabbit). RNAcentral's name for it is "lncRNA (ENSOCUG00000034069.1)". The record is from RNAcentral. Lineage: Eukaryota; Metazoa; Chordata; Mammalia; Lagomorpha; Leporidae.
AAGAAGAGAUGUUCAACUCUGCUCCCAAGAAUGCCAUAUGAGUUCCCUGGGCCCUGUUGGGAGAUAAUAAAAGAACCACCCACCUCCUCAAGGCUUGCUUUCUCAGGAAAGGCACUUACCCACCAGAGGGUGGGAAAAAAGAGGACUGACGGAAGUAGGAGCUGCAAGGCAUAAAGGAUUAUCUGCCACCUGCUGAUUGAUUCUGCUCCUUUGCAGCAAAGACUGACACUAAGCGUCUUUCAAAUGGGAAGCAAAGGGUGAGUGAAUUCACAACCACUUUUGUGGUAGUGGAGAGAAAAGGCUGAACUUCCUUUAGGAAUGGUCAAAUCCCCCCAGGCCACUUGGAAUCUAUGCUGGCAAGAUAAGCAAAAUGCAAUGCCAACUUCAAAUUACUCCAAUUGCAGAUGUCAUUGCUUGUCAGUGGAGAUGAUCCUCUUCCACGGGAGAUUAGGAAGAUGAGAUCAGAAGGAACUGGUAUUUCUCUGGCAUUCGAACAGCAUUGAGUUGGCUUGAUUUUUGAGUCUGGACAACAGGAAGACAUGAGUGAUUUUUAGUGAUGGAAUUAAAGUCUGUCAGCAUGUCAGUAGGAUGCUUCAGAACAGGUGACCAGAGCAUGUUUGGUGGCAGUUAAGAACUGGCCCUGUCUCAGCCCUUUUCCCUUAGUCUCUCUUCCUUGAAGCAAAGACCAUACCACAGGCGUCACCCUGACAGGUGGCCGACUCAACACAGCCUGGAGUGAUUAAGUGCUUUAGAAUUGCAGCUUCCCAAAUGGGCUGAUUCCUUUGGCAGAUACAGCCAGGUGUGGCAGCCUGCUCUCAAGCCAAGCACAAAUCAGAAAGGGUUUGUUUUUUGCUGGGUUUGAUUCAUAAUGUAGUUUGUAAACUGGCCAGAUACAGCCUACAGUCUUUUUUUUUUUUUUUCUGUUCGACAUGAUUUUUUCAAAAUUUAAUUUGGACCAGUGUUUGUAAAUGCUAGUGUCUGUUCCCCCUCUCCCUCUAGACAGUUUGCCUUGGCUGCCAGCACUCACACUGCACAUGGAUGUGCUCUUACACCUAGGGCCAUCUGACCUCAGACCUCCUUUGGUGUGCAGGCAGCUGCCAAC